Molecule: ribosomal RNA, 312 nt
Filed under: Escherichia coli
Lineage: Bacteria; Pseudomonadati; Pseudomonadota; Gammaproteobacteria; Enterobacterales; Enterobacteriaceae
Description: bacterial SSU rRNA
Rfam family: Bacterial small subunit ribosomal RNA
Source: RNAcentral
GACGUUACCCGCAGAAGAAGCACCGGCUAACUCCGUGCCAGCAGCCGCGGUAAUACGGAGGGUGCAAGCGUUAAUCGGAAUUACUGGGCGUAAAGCGCACGCAGGCGGUUUGUUAAGUCAGAUGUGAAAUCCCCGGGCUCAACCUGGGAACUGCAUCUGAUACUGGCAAGCUUGAGUCUCGUAGAGGGGGGUAGAAUUCCAGGUGUAGCGGUGAAAUGCGUAGAGAUCUGGAGGAAUACCGGUGGCGAAGGCGGCCCCCUGGACGAAGACUGACGCUCAGGUGCGAAAGCGUGGGGAGCAAACAGGAUUAGA